This 923-nucleotide ribosomal RNA is filed under the name uncultured bacterium. RNAcentral describes it as "bacterial SSU rRNA". It matches the Rfam family "Bacterial small subunit ribosomal RNA", at positions 68 to 984 of the family's 1533-position model. The record is from RNAcentral.
GGCAGCACGGAGCUUGCUCUGGUGGCGAGUGGCGAACGGGUGAGUAAUGCGUCGGAACGUAUCCAAUAAUGGGGGAUAACGCAGCGAAAGCUGUGCUAAUACCGCAUACGCCCUCCGGGGGAAAGCAGGGGAUCGUAAGACCUUGCGUUAAUGGAGCGGCCGNCNUCNGNNNNNNUAGUUGGUAGGGUAAAGGCCUACCAAGGCGACGAUCAGUAGCUGGUCUGAGAGGAUGAUCAGCCACACUGGGACUGAGACACGGCCCAGACUCCUACGGGAGGCAGCAGUGGGGAAUUUUGGACAAUGGGCGCAAGCCUGAUCCAGCCAUUCCGCGUGAGUGAAGAAGGCCUUCGGGUUGUAAAGCUCUUUCAGGAGGGAAGAAACGAUUGUGGCUAAUACCCAUGAUUAAUGACGGUACCUUCAGAAGAAGCACCGGCUAACUACGUGCCAGCAGCCGCGGUAAUACGUANGGUGCGAGCGUUAGUCGGAAUUACUGGGCGUAAAGCGUGCGCAGGCGGUUUUUCAAGUCUGAUGUGAAAUCCCCGGGCUUAACCUGGGAACUGCGUUGGAAACUGAAAGACUAGAGUGCGGCAGAGGGGGGUAGAAUUCCACGUGUAGCAGUGAAAUGCGUAGAUAUGUGGAGGAAUACCGAUGGCGAAGGCAGCCCCCUGGGUCGACACUGACGCUCAUGCACGAAAGCGUGGGUAGCAAACAGGAUUAGAUACCCUGGUAGUCCACGCCCUAAACGAUGUCAACUAGUUGUUGGGGAGGGAGACCUCCUUAGUAACGCAGCUAACGCGUGAAGUUGACCGCCUGGGGAGUACGGUCGCAAGAUUAAAACUCAAAGGAAUUGACGGGGGGCCCGCACAAGCGGUGGAUUCUGUGGNUUAAUUCGAUGCAACGCGAAAAACCUUACCUACCCUUGA